RNAcentral lists this long non-coding RNA (247 nucleotides) under Gossypium barbadense (sea-island cotton). Its description in RNAcentral is "long non-coding RNA (GBAR_LNC017707)". Lineage: Eukaryota; Viridiplantae; Streptophyta; Magnoliopsida; Malvales; Malvaceae. The record is from RNAcentral.
AGGGAUUUGCCUAAACUCAAUGUCUUGAGGUUUGCCUCUCAUCGCCUAGUACUCGCUUAACCAUCAUUUAUCAUUUUUCCCACAUGAUGCCAUAAUCCCAGACUAGGUCUUACACUAUGUGGUCUUCGUUUCCCAUAUGAUGCCAUAGCGAACGACUAGGCCUUACACUAUAUGGUUUUCUUACCAUGGCUAAGAUUCAUGUUUACUAUCCUGACAGACUCACACACAAACAGAAUCCGUAUGCAAA